Molecule: long non-coding RNA, 362 nt
Organism: Grus americana (Whooping crane)
Lineage: Eukaryota; Metazoa; Chordata; Aves; Gruiformes; Gruidae
Exons: 3
Source: RefSeq, a predicted model, not a curated record
GGCGGAGGACAGCCGAGCGACCGGAGUGACAGCAAAGGAAAGGCGGAGAGCGGGAGAAAGAAGCGUCUGCGCUGGCAAGCUCUCCCGGCAGCGCCGAGAGCCAGAGCUGCGGUGCUGCUGCGCCGAUGCUCCGUACGUUCGCAGUAACGGGUAGAGCGGAAGGCUCCGUGGCCAGGGAAGAGCGGCACGGACACGUUCCUGCUCGCUCCGUUGCACCGGAAUUUCGACGGCUGGGUUCGGCCGCUAAAUUGAUGGCGCUACCGGAAGAAAUUUCAGAAAAAAAGGGUGGCUUUUUCGUCGAUCUCUUUGUGAGAGUAUCAAAUCAGGCGGCGGUAAAUACGUAGAAGCAACUAGGCGUACUA